This 688-nucleotide ribosomal RNA is filed under the name Salmonella enterica subsp. enterica serovar Poona. Its description in RNAcentral is "partial 23S ribosomal RNA". It matches the Rfam family "Bacterial large subunit ribosomal RNA", at positions 568 to 1190 of the family's 2925-position model. The record is from RNAcentral. Lineage: Bacteria; Pseudomonadati; Pseudomonadota; Gammaproteobacteria; Enterobacterales; Enterobacteriaceae.
AACUCCACAUACGCAUCCUUUGCUGAGGAUACGGUUAACGGAGCGCAAGCGACGUUCAACCUCAAAAGAAGCAGAGGGGGCUUAGUGGUGGGGUGACUGCGUACCUUUUGUAUAAUGGGUCAGCGACUUAUAUUCUGUAGCAAGGUUAACCGAAUAGGGGAGCCGGAGGGAAACCGAGUCUUAAUUGGGCGUUAAGUUGCAGGGUAUAGACCCGAAACCCGGUGAUCUAGCCAUGGGCAGGUUGAAGGUUGGGUAACACUAACUGGAGGACCGAACCGACUAAUGUUGAAAAAUUAGCGGAUGACCUGUGGCUGGGGGUGAAAGGCCAAUCAAACCGGGAGAUAGCUGGUUCUCCCCGAAAGCUAUUUAGGUAGCGCCUCGUGAAUUCAUCUCCGGGGGUAGAGCACUGUUUCGGCUAGGGGGCCAUCCCGGCUUACCAACCCGAUGCAAACUGCGAAUACCGGAGAAUGUUAUCACGGGAGACACACGGCGGGUGCUAACGUCCGUCGUGAAGAGGGAAACAACCCAGACCGCCAGCUAAGGUCCCAAAGUCAUGGUUAAGUGGGAAACGAUGUGGGAAGGCCCAGACAGCCAGGAUGUUGGCUUAGAAGCAGCCAUCAUUUAAAGAAAGCGUAAUAGCUCACUGGUCGAGUCGGCCUGCGCGGAAGAUGUAACGGGGCUAAACCAU